Molecule: long non-coding RNA, 750 nt
Filed under: Rattus norvegicus (Norway rat)
Lineage: Eukaryota; Metazoa; Chordata; Mammalia; Rodentia; Muridae
Description: long non-coding RNA NONRATT001865
Source: RNAcentral
UCCAGCAAGGUGUGGCCCAGCCUAAAUGUGUGUACCACCACGUCUGGAUCUGGGACUUGUCCUAAGAUGACCUUGAACUCAGAGAUCUCCUUGCCUUAGUCUCCUGGGAUUCAUGGCCACUAUGUCUCAAGAUCUCCAUGCCAAGAUCCAGGUCAGAAACUUGUCGCUCCCAGCCUCAAGAUCUGGAUCGCAGAUGGUGAUGGUGUGCCUCCGAAUCAGUUCGUCUGGUGGCUCGCUUUCUCUUCCCAGGAAUGAGCUUUCCAGAGUCCAGGAGGAUGUAACAGAAACUACAGUCUCUGUCGUAGUCACUGUGGAGAUUAUGAAGAUCACAGUCCUAAAUCACUAGUCAGUCAGAGACGGAAAACUGCACCCAGACAUAUCCCAGCGAGAAGAAACCAAUGGAGACUGACUUCAGAUGAUAUACAAGUUGAAAUUAGAAUGACCUCAGAAUGACCAAAGUGACUCAGCUCGAGAGCCUAAAGGAAUUAUAUUCACGACUAAGGCUCAGCAGAAGAUCAGAAACGUUUCUUUUUAAGUCACAGUAAGACAGUUUUUUUAAUUAAGUUUAGUUUGAUUUGAUGUGCUUUGGUGUUCUGCCUGCAUAUAUAUCUGUGUGAAGAUGUCAGAUCUUGGAGUUACAGACGGUUGCGAGCUGCCAUGUGGGCACUGGGAAUAGAACUCGGACCCUCUGGAAGAGCUUUCAGUGCUCCUGACCACUGAGCCAUUCCUCCAGCCAGGAAGAGGAGUGGG